GUUAUGAGAAACAGACCUUUCAGCUGUUCAGUAAUUUAGGGUAGGGGUGGACAAGGGUUGGCUUGAUUUUGUCCUACGACUACACUCAAUCCUUGGAUGGCUCGGAAGAGUUCGAUAAAUUCAACCCUGGUCGGGUGAUUCGGGGCUUCAAAUUGCUCGAUAUGCUCUACGGAUGAUCUUCCUCGCGUCAUUUCUACAAAAGUAAGGAAGACAUGAGUUGGUGGUUUAAUUUUUAAAAAAGGGACUUAUUCUUCUUAGGCACUCUAAGGGUCUUUCUACCUAAGGCCUCAGUAUAAGGGAUUUGAUCCGCGUAAUUCUGCUCUAAUACCAUCUGU
This 335-nucleotide long non-coding RNA is filed under the name Carica papaya (papaya). RNAcentral's name for it is "long non-coding RNA (CPAP_LNC006142)". The record is from RNAcentral. Lineage: Eukaryota; Viridiplantae; Streptophyta; Magnoliopsida; Brassicales; Caricaceae.